Molecule: long non-coding RNA, 699 nt
Organism: Macadamia integrifolia
Lineage: Eukaryota; Viridiplantae; Streptophyta; Magnoliopsida; Proteales; Proteaceae
Exons: 2
Source: RefSeq, a predicted model, not a curated record
AACAGAAAGAAAGAGGAAAUGCAAAGGGAGGCUCUUUACUCUUUUGAAGAUCAUUCCUUUGCACCUUUAGAGAGAUUCAGAAUUUCUUUUCAAUUCAAAGAUCUAAGCAACUUUGAUCAAGUAGACAUUUAAGCUGCAAACAAGAUGGUUGAUGCAGUUAUUCUUCGAGCUGUUCUUCAGAACAUUAACUCCCUACUUGAGCAAGAGUUUGCUUUGGCAUGGGGAGUCGAUCGAGAGAUGAGAAGGCUUUCAAACACCUUGGCCACAAUUCGAGAUGUAUUGGAGGAUGCUGAGAUGAAGCAAUUCAAGGAUAAGGCUAUCAAAGGAUGCAGCUUAUGAUGCAGAAGACAUCUUAGAUGAGUGUGCUGCCAAAGCACUUCAAUUAGAAGACGCCUAGAUGAGCAAUUGCACCAACCAGGAUAUGAAAACAGAGUUGCUGUCACUCAGUUGAGGGAAGCUCUACAACAUACUUCCAAACACUAUCUUCCAUCUUGGACUUGAUUUCUAGUUUUAAUGUCCUUAUUAUUAAAUAUGUAAGUUGUAACUAUAAUAUUAAGAGAGGCCUAUAUCAUUGCCCAAAAAGCUAUACAAACUGGGGCUAAUGGCUUUGUUUUAAUGGUCCACACAAUUUUACAUUGUCAUAGAAGGAUGUGAAAAUAACAACUAUUAGACAGUGAAAAAUUGAUUUUUUUUUUGAUA